Long non-coding RNA from Gasterosteus aculeatus aculeatus (three-spined stickleback), 6289 nucleotides. NCBI's taxonomy places the organism in Eukaryota, Metazoa, Chordata, Actinopteri, Perciformes, Gasterosteidae. The record is from Ensembl.
ACAAAACCAUAUUUGAUAACCAGGGUACAUUUAAUUGUACUUUGCUACCGUAGGUAAAGAAAUCAGUGAAUUCCUCUUGCAUUUCUCCAAACAAGGAUCCAACACUGACCUCUAGUGGUUAUUGAGGAUUAGGACAUGCCUCCGUUGCCUAAAGGCGUGUAGGUGGAAAUUAUAUCGAAAUGCUUAUAUAUUAUAACAUUAAAACGUCCUCCUGAACAGGAAAACAAACGCCAGGUAUUUCAUAAACUAACACACGUUACAAGGAGUAACACAAAAAAGUAUGUGAAAUAUAAAUAUUACAGUUUAAACCUUGCAAACAUUCAGAAAAGACUUAAUUGUAUCAAUUGUUUUUGCUUUCAAAUUAAAUGUGUAGCUCAUAUAGGCGGCGUGAAUAAACAUCUAAUAAAGUUACUGUAAUGUGACCUAAAUGUGGUUCCAGGGAGUGUACUAUAUGUUAAGAGAUCCGUACAACGGUGUGAUGACUUGUACACAUACUAUUAUGCUUAAUCUUAUAAUCUGUCAACAGUGCUGUUAGAGAAUGUAAAAUAAAUUAUAUUUCAAGGUUAGAGACAUUCCUUAUUAUGUAGUAAUAUAACAGCACAAUGUAAAUGUAGUGCAAAAUAGGAAUUAUGAUUAUAUUCUGUGCAAUUUAGGCAAACGUUUGCCUAGAAUAAAUACAUAACUGUUUUCCAUAUGACCAUGAAUCAUUCAAUUUGUGAUUAUUAAAUAGCUUCACUGUUAUUAUUGUAAACACAAACAUUGAUUCUGUCCUUGCUCAGGUUGUCCGUUGGCGCCACAGAUCUUUAGUGGCAAACAGAGAAUAUGCGACCCAGUAAAGUAUUAUUCUGUCACUGCCUACAUUGUCCACAAGGGCGCAGCAGACUCUAACAAAUACACAAACCCCAACCCUGCACUAACAGUCAACGUCAAUAUGUUUGUUUGUCCUGACACUAUUCCACGCAGCCCAUUAGCCAGUGCAGACAUUUCAAUCCUCAUGCCGAUGAAGUGCAGGAUUGUCUUGUUUCUCCUUCACAGCCCGUUGGACGAGCGACGCCUCGCGAUGACGGCCUGACGUCUGGACGACUUACGGAGGCGUCACAGCGUUUUGCCCCAGCGGGCUUCUCUGUUUCCUCUGGUCAGGGACACCGACAGCCGCUUCCACGCUGAGUCCGUCAGAAGAUCAGGGACGACCACCUGACUCACAGGCCUAGACACCGGGGGGGAGCGCCGGGCCUCAGGGGCCUGCUGCUUUUAUCGGACACGAUCGUUUCUGUGCACCGCUCCGACACAAUUACACUUCUUGUGUGAGAAGCAGUGCAGCUCAACCUCAUUCGGUCUCCCUCAAAGAAAGAAGUGAAACAGAGACAUUCAAAUCUGUCGCAGAGCUUUACACGGAUCAUCCACACUAGCACUGAGACGUCGCGUGAGGAGCCCGGUGGUCUGCUGUGUCCCGGGGAGGUCACAGAGGGAAUUUCACGCUCCUCUUCACACUGAAAAUGUCUCCUUUAUCCUUCACACUGAGAACCAAGGAAACGGGAAGAAUGAAAGGGUGGAGUGAAUGGAAUUUUUUUUUAAACGGGAGCAAACUCCUGAAUAAGGAUUGCUAACUUGUGCAGGUGUGACUUGUCAGAGUGGGGGGGCAAGCGACACCCAGCAGAGUAAAGGACAUAUGUGGUCACCGGUUGAGUGGAAGGGGACGUAUUUGAGAGGCGAAACGGGGAGAAAGGAAAUUCUCCUGCCAGAAGUGUGGUCAGUUUGCGCUUAUAACGAAGCAGGUGAAGGAUGGCCGGGGGGGGGUCACAGGGUUUAAAGGACAGUUAGACGUGGUCCCCCGAGGGGGGAAUGGCGGGCCCCGUACGGCACACGGAGUUAAAAGUGAAAGAGCCUGAAGACCCGAAGCAGAGGGAGGCUUAUCAAACAAUACAUGCUUCAAGUGCCAGAGCCAGAAGCAUCAUUGUGACAAAUCUUAUUUUCAUGUUCACCACUUUGUCUAAAGCCCCCCCUCCUCCCCCCAACCGCCGACGCUCUCACUCGAGCACAAGCUGUCCGUCUCUCUCAGCAUCCCACUUCCCGAUGACUCCCAAAUGGGAUAAACACCCUCAUUUACACAGAGGGACGCACACACACACACACACACACACACACACACACACACACACAGGCACGCACACCAAGUUGCGGUUUCCCGGUAGGAAAUCAGCAAUCUGCUGCCAUAACCCACCAGCAUUUAAACCACCUUCCUUCUAUUUAUUCACUCCCCCCACCCCCCUCCUCUCACGCCUGUUUAAACACCUGAUACCUCCCCUGUGUGCAUCAUUAGGGUGAGAAGACAUUAGGAAAAAAGAACAGUGAAUUCAUUUGAGGGGGUGGUCUGGUGUUGCAGCAUCACAGAGGUCGAGAACGUUGUGCAGCGAGACAGACAUCCUCCUCUGUUUUCCAUUACUGUGGAAAUUGGACACCUCGUUUAGCCAUUUUUGAAAGCACAAGGUCUCAAAAAAAUCAUAUCAAUCCAUGUUAAAUUCCGAGGAGUUACACGUGAGACGACCGGUUAAUUUGACAGCACUUCUUUGACAUGUUCCUCCAUAAUCCCAGAGGAGAAAAUCACAAACGGAGGGAAAAAAGAGUUGACACAGUUCGCCCAGCUUUUCAAACCCUCUCUCGCUCUCUCUCUCUCACACACAUAAACACAUAUGCACAAACACAUACACCUCGAAACAAAGGUGCCAUUUUACUCAGGAAGGGUCAGCAGUUCUCUCCAUCAGACAGAGGCUUGUUCUUGGUCAGAGGCUGCUGCCCAAUCUCAGGCCACCCUCCCCUGGCUCCACCGGCCCCCUCUGGCCCCCCUCUGGCCCCCACCACCCUGGAGACAAGCUCCCCAUUGUUCCUGCACUACUAAUAAAUGACAGUUCUCCUGUUCAGACAAACUUUAGAGCCCAUUCUAAACACACACACACACACACACACACACACGGUGUAACUGAGUGUAACUGGUGCUCUGAAUGAAAGGAUACACUAAAGCUUUUUCUUCUCUUUUUACUACCUGAUAUUGCUCACGGCGAUCGCCUAAUGAUCGAAGGAUAUUUUUAUCGAGUCUUGCGCCCUGCAGACCUGAUGAGGUAAUGCUCUGGCGCACUGGCUACAAGAGGAGGGUGUAAUUAACCUGUAAUAAAAGUGUUCUAUUGCCUUGCCUGCCCACUAUACAGAGACACGGUCAACGGAGGACAUGCCACUCAGUAACCUGCGUGCAAUGUCACACACACACACACACACACACACACACACACGCGCACACACGCCAGGUAUUAAGCUUGAUCAAGGCAACCGAGGUGGGCCUCGGGUUUGGACAUGAUAAAUCACCACUCGACUUAAGCCCAUAAACACACCAUUAACACGCUCGACCACAGCAACUCAAUCUGUUUACCUUAACCACCGUGCUGGGGGGCUAUCGCGCGGGGGUCAGGCCCGUAUUAGCAUGCCUAGCGGAGGGCGGGGGGGGGGGGGGGCUGAUGCACAUGUUCCUCACUGCUGGUGGGCAGCAUUAGCUACUGGCCAAGCAACAUUUUAAAGGAAAUGCUACCCAGAGGAGCAUCAUCUACUGUCAUUAAAGAACAAAACACAGCUGAAUCAGAGUUCAGCAGAAUUGCGAGUGCUGAGAAAGUUCCUCGUUGAACUUGUUGAAAUGCUGAAUGGAGUAAAUACACGGUUGUUAAGUGACUCUGCCCCCCCCUCCGGCCUUUAUGCGGUUCUCUACCGCGGCGGUUCACCACAAGCGUAUCAUAUGACAGCUCAUCCAGCACACUCAGCCGUGCCAGAAAGCAAAUUCCUGCUUUGCAAUUCUCACGGAACCGAGGCAUAAACUCAAAGUAUCCAUUAGAGAAAAAAAUUGCAUUUACUGAAAUAUCCUUUUGCGGCUUUGCUGUCUGAGAGUCGCGGUGGGGCGUGCGGGGCCGCAUCCGCGUUUGCGUGGCGCUUACGCGACGCAUGGGGCGAUGCCGAGCGAGCGGGCAAGAGGAGGAAGAAGAGGCAGAAGUUGGAGUAAAAAAAAUAAAUAAAAAAAGCCCCAGUCUAUAGUCAAGGCCCGCUCGCUGACAGAGUCUGUCUUUGUCUGCCUCCCAGGGUGCCAGAUAAAGGAAUUCUUGUGUGUCGGGGGCUCUGACCGAGUUUAUUUGACACUUCAGCUCCUUUUGUGCAGCAAGUGUCCCACCGUCAAUGCUGGCCAUGAGAGUCACUUGGCAUUAGACAGAGGGUCCCUCUUCAGUGGAGAAAGGGGGUCUUGUGUAUGUGAGAGCGAGGGGGGGGGGGGGGUCUGUGCUCUGUGUUGUGUACAGACGUAUAGUGGGGCUCUGUCCCUUACCCCGACAAUAGAUGGAUUUCUUCGUCGCGAAGGGAAGUGGACGUUAUUGGGGAGGAAGCUCGGAAGCUUCGGCGGACAACUUCCGCUCCCAUGAACGCAACGCGCCGCUACGUCACCGCGUGCUCAUUGAGGAUGGAAAUGCCGACCGGCGUUGCAGGCGCGAACCCCCUUCCCUCACAUAAAUCUGACCGUGCGUGGUUUACGAUGGAGUGAGAUCACGUGCACCUGCUGGUUCCACUCAAAUGAAGCGCCUGCACACCAUCCAAAUGUGUGUGUGUGUGUGUGUGUGUGUGUGUGUGUGUCAGAGCACAGCAGUGAUCUCUGAUUCAUGCCAUGUGGCAGGUAGCGGCGGCAUGAGCCACUGACAGCUGCCUGACAUAACAGGCCUCCCUGUGGGCCAAGUUUCUGAAGACAGAUUUGCUCCCACCUGAAUGGAGUCACUGUGGGAGAGGUGGGUGGAAUUGGUUUCUAUGGUUACUGUAUCCACACUGUUCAUUUUCUUUACUUUGCUGCACCUGGUCUUUCACAACUUGUGACAAGUCGCGGCUCUGUGAAUGGUCUCGGCGCUGCAGGUGGACGCCAGCGUCGAGGUAAGGAAAAGUUUGCUAAAAAGUGUUUUUUAAAAAGGUGUCACUUUGAAAAUGACAUCAGUGAGAGUCAGUUUUGGGGGCAGAUCAGGGCUAAAAUAAAACACACACAUAAACACACACACACACACACACACACACACACACACACUCUCCACAGGCACAGUACAGCCUUACUUGAUAAGAGAUGCCCGUUGGAAUCCCAUGUGAGAGGAGUUGUAAUGUAACAAACGGGUGGAUCGGGAUAUAAAGAAGGAACUUUUGGUCAUAACAGCCUUGUUGUUGCCAAUGGGUUUAUACGGUUUGUGAGAUAGCCGCUUAGUUAUUCAAAUUAAAUGAGAACAUUGAUUUCUGACAGCCAUUAAGACAUAUUGAAGCGACUCUCGCUUGUGAAGCUCUGCAACACGUUCUUCUUAGGAUUUUAUUAUUAACAAGGUAACACUGUAGCACAUAUACGCCGAAACACAACUCCAACAACCCUCCCGCUUUCCCUCAACCCACCCACAAACAUCACCACAACACACCUCCACAGGGGGCACUAUGAUUGACAUACACAAGAUGAGACCUUCACUGACCUCCUAGCCUCAGGAAAAGUGUGACCUCACUCACAGAACACGUCCCGCUAUCAUAACAUCUCACUGACAGAGAGGUACAAGUCGGAGGUGAUUCUCAAAUACCUGCUGGAUGAAGGGAUGCGCCAAGUCACCGCCCGAACUGCUGGUCAUCUGUUGAGCACUUUCAAAUUAUAUUCCGGAAUAUUCCUUUUUCCCCAGUUGCCAAAAUCCAGCUCAACGAAUAUCGAUCUCCAAAAACCGCAUCAUGGUGUGGAUUAUUUGUGACACUGGCCGCGCGCAUCGCAAGAGACGCUCCUGUCCGACCAGCUGCUUGUAGCGCAGAGGGACAAAUGGACACUGUUCAUCCCGUGUCGGAGACAGUAUUUCCUCAUAUCCCACAGGUCGAUGCACAGCCCGGCGCGUUGAAUCCAUCACAAAGUUUCACCCGACGUUUGUAACAACAUGAACUCCUCCAGUGGUGCCACGGCUGUAAAAGAAAAUAGCGUUUAAUCGCGUUAAAGUCUCCAAAAGAAUCCUGGAGUAAAUCCUGUCCAAUCAAGGCGAUAGAUCGGUGGGAUUAGUUCCGAUGAGCAGCAAAGUAGCCGCUUUCGUCCUUGUGGUCCGGCGCAAUGAUGAAGCUGUGACCUGAAGCCGCGGAGCUCGACGCGCUGCGCCGCCGCGCACAGCCGGAGCCGCACUGAGCCAUAGUUGGAGAGCCGCAGCGCAGCAGCGCAGCACAUGCUGCUCCGCGGCUGACGUCAGCGCGCAAGGCAUGAUGGUAAGUGGAGUUUAUU